RNAcentral lists this transfer RNA (72 nucleotides) under Ovis aries (sheep). It matches the Rfam family "tRNA". From Rfam's summary of the family: Transfer RNA (tRNA) molecules are approximately 80 nucleotides in length. Their secondary structure includes four short double-helical elements and three loops (D, anti-codon, and T loops). Further hydrogen bonds mediate the characteristic L-shaped molecular structure. tRNAs have two regions of fundamental functional importance: the anti-codon, which is responsible for specific mRNA codon recognition, and the 3' end, to which the tRNAs corresponding amino acid is attached (by aminoacyl-tRNA synthetases). tRNAs cope with the degeneracy of the genetic code in two manners: having more than one tRNA (with a specific anti-codon) for a particular amino acid; and 'wobble' base-pairing, i.e. permitting non-standard base-pairing at the 3rd anti-codon position. Lineage: Eukaryota; Metazoa; Chordata; Mammalia; Artiodactyla; Bovidae. The record is from Rfam by way of RNAcentral.
UCCCUGGUGGUCCAGUGCUAGGACUCCACAUUCCCAAUGCAGGGGGCCUGGGUUCAAUCCCAGGUCAGGAAA